This 383-nucleotide ribosomal RNA is filed under the name uncultured eukaryote. RNAcentral's name for it is "partial 18S ribosomal RNA". It matches the Rfam family "Eukaryotic small subunit ribosomal RNA", at positions 592 to 976 of the family's 1831-position model. The record is from RNAcentral.
CAAUAGCGUAUAUUAAAGUUGUUGCAGUUAAAAAGCUCGUAGUUGGAUUUCUGGUAGGAGUGACCGUUCCGAACUUGAUUGUUCGUGUAUUGUGUUUUCUCCAGCCAUCCUUGUGGAGAACUUUUCUUGCAUUAAUUUGUAGGGAUUGGGACCCGCAUCGUUUACUGUGAAAAAUUUAGAGUGUUUAAAGCAGGCAAUCGCUUGAAUACAUUAGCAUGGAAUAAUAAGAUAGGACUUUGGUACUAUUUUGUUGGUUUGCAUACCAAAUUAAUGAUCAACAGGAACAGUUUGAGGAUAUUCGUAUGAACAUGUCAGAGGUGAAAUUCUUGGAUUUUGAUCAGACGAACUACUGCGAAAGCAUUUAUCAAGGAUGUUUUCAUUAA